CCCGCUGAACUUAAGCAUAUCAAUAAGCGGAGGAAAAGAAACUAACAAGGAUUCCCCUAGUAACUGCGAGUGAAGCGGGAAGAGCUCAAAUUUGAAAUCUGGCGGUCCCUUGGGCUGUCCGAGUUGUAAUCUAGAGAAGUGUUACCUGUGCUGGACCGUGUACAAGUCUCCUGGAAUGGAGCAUCACAGAGGGUGAGAAUCCCGUCUUUGACACGGACUGCCUGUGCGAUACGGUGCGCUCUCGAAGAGUCGAGUUGUUUGGGAAUGCAGCUCAAAAUGGGUGGUAAAUUCCAUCUAAAGCUAAAUAUUGGGGAGAGACCGAUAGCGAACAAGUACCGUGAGGGAAAGAUGAAAAGAACUUUGGAAAGAGAGUUAAACAGUACGUGAAAUUGCUGAAAGGGAAACGCUUGAAGUCAGUCGCGUCGCUCAGGACUCAGCCUUGCUUUUGCUUGGUGUACUUCCUGUUCGAUGGGUCAGCAUCAAUUUUGGUCGGUGGAUAAAGGCUCAGAGAAUGUGGCAUCUUCGGGUGUGUUAUAGCUCUGGGUUGUAUACAUCGGCUGGGAUUGAGGAACUCAGCACGCCGCAAGGCCGGGUACUUGUACCACGUACGUGCUUAGGAUGCUGGCAUAAUGGCUUUAAUCGACCCGUCUUGAAACACGG
Molecule: ribosomal RNA, 660 nt
Filed under: uncultured fungus
Lineage: Eukaryota; Fungi
Description: eukaryotic LSU rRNA
Rfam family: Eukaryotic large subunit ribosomal RNA
Source: RNAcentral